Molecule: unclassified non-coding RNA, 323 nt
Filed under: uncultured fungus
Lineage: Eukaryota; Fungi
Description: sequence contains ITS1
Rfam family: 5.8S ribosomal RNA (bases 1-103)
Source: RNAcentral
GAAGUGCGAUAAGCAAUGCGAAUUGCAGAACCGUGAGUCAUCAGAUUUUUGAACGCAACUGGCGCCGGCUGGGUCUCCAGUCGGCAUGCUUGUUUCAGUGUCUUGUUCUCUCCUCACCCAAAUCUUAAUGCGAGAGAUACCCUUCUCUUGCUAAGCAUGAAAGCACUCUGCGCUCUGCAGGCGACUUGGUCGCACUCAAUGCAGCCGUCACAUUAUUACAAUGUGAACUCAUUGAGAGUAGAGGCAGUGCAGUUUACUGCCAGUGCUUAGACACCUAAACUUUCUUGCAUCUGAAAUCAAGCAGGAUCACCCGCUGAACUUAA